RNAcentral lists this ribosomal RNA (327 nucleotides) under uncultured Acidobacteriota bacterium. RNAcentral's name for it is "bacterial SSU rRNA". It matches the Rfam family "Bacterial small subunit ribosomal RNA", at positions 32 to 351 of the family's 1533-position model. The record is from RNAcentral. Lineage: Bacteria; Pseudomonadati; Acidobacteriota.
AAUCAACGCUGGCGGCGUGCGUAACACAUGCAAGUCGAACGAGAAAGUCCUGGCAACGGGAUGAGUAAAGUGGCAGACGGGUGAGUAACACGUGAACAACCUACCCUCGAGUGGGGAAUAACUCAGCGAAAGCAGGGCUAAUGCCCCAUGACAUCCUCGGGACGCAUGUCCUGGGGAUCAACGGCCUCGGUCGCUUGAGGAGGGGUUCGCGCCUGAUUAGCUAGUUGGUGAGGUAACGGCCCACCAAGGCAACGAUCAGUAGCCGGCCUGAGAGGGCGUACGGCCACACUGGAACUGAGACACGGUCCAGACUCCUACGGGAGGCAG